GUAAUUAUUAUAUUAUUGAGACGCUGAUUUACAAUUAAUAAGGUUAUAGGGAGUCCAAUCGGCAGGCAGGCCUGCCGAGGAAACAUGAGUACGCAAAAAGACAAGGGUAUAGGAUAGGGGCGUACUCUUGAGAGCGCUGCCGAAGCAGUCUCUCGAAUUUCCACCCCCCCUGAACAAUAGAAAACUACUGUGUUUAAUGAUCCUUCCGCAGGUUCACCUACGGAAA
This 226-nucleotide unclassified non-coding RNA is filed under the name uncultured fungus. RNAcentral's name for it is "sequence contains ITS1". The record is from RNAcentral. Lineage: Eukaryota; Fungi.